RNAcentral lists this ribosomal RNA (333 nucleotides) under Triticum aestivum (bread wheat). RNAcentral describes it as "partial small subunit ribosomal RNA". Lineage: Eukaryota; Viridiplantae; Streptophyta; Magnoliopsida; Poales; Poaceae. The record is from RNAcentral.
AUGAAGGAAUUAGGAGAACACUUACAGUUAAAACUCCUCCUAACCUUGUGUCAUCGCACUCAAGUAAACCUCACCGUGAAAGACAUAAAGCAACCUCUCGACACACACACACACACACACACACACACACACACACACACACACACACACACACACACACAACACACACACAGAGAGAGAGAGAGGCCCACGGCUUGUAGCAGCACAUGGUUUGGCAUGGGGACAACGAUCUGCUGUUGUUCAUAUCAAGCAAGGCAAGUAAGAAUAAAAAAGGAUGUUUACCUAAUGCACAGAUGCUCGUACAAAUGCAAGAUAGCACUGUUGAGUUUUUGA